UACGUAGGGUGCAAGCGUUGUCCGGAAUUAUUGGGCGUAAAGCGCGCGCAGGCGGUCCCUUAAGUCUGAUGUGAAAGCCCACGGCUCAACCGGGGAGGGUCAUUGGAAACUGGGGGACUUGAGUGCAGAAGAGGAAAGUGGAAUUCCAUGUGUAGCGGUGAAAUGCGUAGAGAUGUGGAGGAACACCAGUGGCGAAGGCGACUUUCUGGUCUGUAACUGACGCUGAGGCGCGAAAGCGUGGGGAGCAAACAGG
This 253-nucleotide ribosomal RNA is filed under the name uncultured bacterium. RNAcentral's name for it is "partial 16S ribosomal RNA". It matches the Rfam family "Bacterial small subunit ribosomal RNA", at positions 524 to 776 of the family's 1533-position model. The record is from RNAcentral.